UUUACCUUUUUGUUCGUGUGACUACCCAAUCUCUACUCCCUUUCCCCUGCAGCGUUUUCCCCUUUCCCCUUCUCCAACAAAAAUCUAACCGUCUCCCUCUCAUUCCUCCGACCGCCAUCACCACCAUCAUCCCCGUUGCACGCCAUCACCACCAUCUAAUCUGUAAUAUCUCAUAACUCCCACCCAAAAAUCCCUCCCCUUUCGCUUUAACAACCCUAACCCUCUUCCUCUCGAUCUCCGUCCGCCAUCACCACCAUUAGCCCGGUUGCACGCCAUCUAAUCUGUCCUGAAAACCCGAUGUCACCAUUUUGGUUAUUUGGUUAUAUUGAUUUAUUUGUUAUUGUAAUUUCGCUUCAGAUCUGUUAAUAAUGCCAUCAUCAUCGCAAUGCCACAACCAUUCUUCAUUCUUUAGGUCAAUAUGGAGGUAUUCUAACACUUUUGUUCAGAUUGAGUUGAGGGUACUGGAAGGCGGUUGAUGUUUGGGAAAGAGUCGCAGAAGCUUGAUGUCGAGAUAGAAGAAAGGGAACAAGCAGACUCGAAACUUUAAGGAAUCAACAUUGAAAUGUGUUUAUCAUCUACCAGCAGGAGUUUUGCUUUGGCUGUAACUCCUAACGAGUCAUGGUUUACUAAUACUACCAACUUUUGGAUUGUUCGUGGCAGCAAAAAAUGGCCUGACUAGGAAGCCAAGUGGGACUGGAGGUGGUUAAAUAUAGAGAGGUACUUCAGGAACAUUUCUCAUUUUGUUGGUGGUUGGCUUUCUUGCUACUAUGUAAUCUCCACACUGUGUUUGUACAGAUUUUGAAGAUGUACGACCAACAUAUAUCAACAUUUCAAAAGGAUUGGAGGCCAAAAAGUCAUGUUUAAGGUGAAAGGAGUUUUGUUUGAAGCGGUUUUUUCUUUUCAAUCAUUAGGAAAAAGCAGCUUUCAUAUCAUAUAUUGUUUCGAGAUAUUAAUUAAUGCUACUUUAUAGAUAAGAAUUGUUGCAAUUUUAUAGUGUUUUUUUAUGAGUUACAAUUUUUUGAUGUCAAUGGUUUAAUUAAUGAGUUAGAUUUA
Erigeron canadensis is the source of this 1053-nucleotide long non-coding RNA. RefSeq lists it as uncharacterized. The transcript is spliced from 4 exons. NCBI's taxonomy places the organism in Eukaryota, Viridiplantae, Streptophyta, Magnoliopsida, Asterales, Asteraceae. The record is from RefSeq and is a predicted model, not a curated record.